RNAcentral lists this ribosomal RNA (497 nucleotides) under uncultured bacterium. RNAcentral describes it as "partial 16S ribosomal RNA". It matches the Rfam family "Bacterial small subunit ribosomal RNA", at positions 28 to 507 of the family's 1533-position model. The record is from RNAcentral.
GAUGAACGCUGGCGGCGUGCCUAAUACAUGCAAGUCGAGCGAACAGACGAGGAGCUUGCCCCCCUGCCGUUAGCGGCGGGAGGGUGAGUAAAACGUGGAUAACCCACCUAUUAGACUGGGAUAAAUCAGGGAAAACGGAGCUAAUACCGGGUAAUAUAUUGAACCGCAUGGUUCAAUAGAGAAAAAAGGUGUUGCCGUCACUUAUGCUAGGAUCCGAGCCGCAUUAGCCGGUUGGUUAGGUAAUGGGUUACCAAGGGAACGAUCGUUAGCCGACCCGAGAGGGUGACCGCCCAAACUGGAACUGGAACAGGGCCCAGCCUCCUAGGGGAGGCAGCGUGAGGGAAUUUUCCGCAAUGGGCGAAAGCUUGACGGGGCAACGCGGCGGGGGUGAGGAAGGUUUUCGGAUCUUAAGACUUUGUUAUUAGGGAAGAACAAAUGUGUAAGUAACUAUGCACGUCUUGACGGUACCUAAUCAGAAAGCCACGGCUAACUACGUG